AGAGUUUGAUCAUGGCUCAGAUUGAACGCUGGCGGUAUGCUUAACACAUGCAAGUCGAACGAGUAGUUACUUCGGUAACGAGAGUGGCGGACGGGUGAGUAACGCGUAGGAAUCUGCCUGUUAGUGGGGGACAACGUGGGGAAACUCACGCUAAUACCGCAUACGCCCUACGGGGGAAAGGAGGGGAUCUUCGGACCUUUCGCUAACAGAUGAGCCUGCGUAGGAUUAGCUAGUUGGUAGGGUAAAGGCCUACCAAGGCGACGAUCCUUAGCUGGUCUGAGAGGACGAUCAGCCACACUGGGACUGAGACACGGCCCAGACUCCUACGGGAGGCAGCAGUGGGGAAUAUUGGACAAUGGGCGAAAGCCUGAUCCAGCAAUACCGCGUGUGUGAAGAAGGCCUUCGGGUUGUAAAGCACUUUCAAUGGGGAGGAACACCUGUUGGUCAAUACCCGGCAGCUUGACAUUACCCAUAGAAGAAGCACCGGCUAACUCCGUGCCAGCAGCCGCGGUAAUACGGAGGGAGCUAGCGUUGUUCGGAAUAACUGGGCGUAAAGGGUGCGUAGGUGGGCGUGUGCGUUAGAUGUGAAAUCCCCGGGCUUAACCUGGGAACUGCAUUUAAUACGGCACGUCUAGAGUGCGAGAGGGGAAAGCGGAAUGGCGAGUGGAGCAGUGAAAUGCAUUGAGAUUCGCUAGAACACCAGAGGCGAAGGCGGCUUUCUGGCUCGCUACUGACACUAAGGCACGAAAGCGUGGGGAGCAAACAGGAUUAGAUGCCCUGGUAGUCC
RNAcentral lists this ribosomal RNA (787 nucleotides) under uncultured bacterium. RNAcentral's name for it is "bacterial SSU rRNA". It matches the Rfam family "Bacterial small subunit ribosomal RNA", at positions 8 to 796 of the family's 1533-position model. The record is from RNAcentral.